CCUACGGGGGGCUGCAGUAGGGAAUUUUCGGCAAUGGGGGGAACCCUGACCGAGCAACGCCGCGUGAACGAAGAAGUAUUUCGGUACGUAAAGCUCUAUCAGCAGGGAAGAAAAAAGGACGGUACCUGAGUAAGAAGCCCCGGCUAACUACGUGCCAGCAGCCGCGGUAAUACGUAGGGGGCAAGCGUUAUCCGGAAUUACUGGGUGUAAAGGGAGCGUAGACGGCAAUGCAAGUCCGGAGUGGAAUGCGGCAGCUCAACUGCCGAACUGCUCUGGAAACUGUAUGGCUUGAGUGCAGGAGGGGUAAGCGGAAUUCCUGGUGUAGCGGUGAAAUGCGUAGAUAUCAGGAGGAACACCGGUGGCGAAGGCGGCUUACUGGACUGUAACUGACGUUGAGGCUCGAAAGCGUGGGGAGCAAACAGGAUUAGAUACCCUUGUAGUC
This 442-nucleotide ribosomal RNA is filed under the name uncultured bacterium. RNAcentral's name for it is "partial 16S ribosomal RNA". It matches the Rfam family "Bacterial small subunit ribosomal RNA", at positions 338 to 795 of the family's 1533-position model. The record is from RNAcentral.